ACAGCGCAUACCCAAACCUCCCCAGGGUGACAUCAUCCCAUAUAUGGACUCUCCAGCCCAGCCCUCCCCCUUUUCCUGGUCCUAAAUUCAUUGCCAGUUCCCCAGUCUGCAGCAAAUGUGCCACGUCAAGACUGGAAAUCACAGCCCUUGAGUGUGUCUCAGUCAGCGCAGCAGAAUUCAGGGGGGAAAGCUGAAUGCAACCCCUGGUGCAGGAAGGGAGGCUUUUCCUGAGGACCGGGAGAGGAUUUUAAGUACAUGGAAGGAAGCUUCUGGAGAUCCUGCUCCGUCGCCCCAGUGUUCAGACUACCUGUUCAGGACAAUGCCGUUGUACAGUAGUCUGCACAUUGGUUUUGCACACUAGGGACCAAGAAGCCCUCGGGGACACUGCUGAGAAAAGACUGCCGAAGGGAAGACCAGCGGGGAUCAUGGAAUCUAUUCCAGAGGAAACUAACCAACAGUGAGCAUCUUCAACUAAAACUACCCCUGGAUGUAAUGGUUGCAUGCAUCAUUCCUUUAAUUGAGCAGAGUUAACUGGAUCAAAUUAUUUAUGGGAGAGAGAGGAAAAGUUAUAAAGAAUUUUAGUAAUUUUUAAUUUCCACCACUAUACUCUUUGUAAGUGAAUCACUCUAUAAUUACUUUCUGUUGCACUGAAUGCAGCAACAGUAACACAAUAGUAUUUUAAGGCACUGGUUUUUGGCAUACUCUAACCUUGUAGCUAUUUAAAUAACAGACAAGUUUACUCAUGUUUAUUAUUCUGUCAAGGAAAAAAAAAGUUCCUUUACUCGGAAGUGAUGGCCAGAAACAGAAUCAGAAAUUUACUUUCUUGAAAUUACAUAAGUACACAGAAAAUGGCACUUAUCAGCUUUUGUUAAAACAUUACCUUAUCUAAUCACUGCAUAAAAGUCCAGAUUUGUAGAAAAUUGUCAUUUUCUCAGUAUCUAAAAACUAUUUUGCUUUCCAUUAAGUUUCUAUUUGCUAUUUUCUCAGAAUUUUACAAUUAAAGAUAAAUCAUAAACUAUUUGUUUUUCUUAAAGUUCUUUGAGAAAAUGUCUAAUUAUACAAUCUGUGGACAAUACUGUGUUUUUUGGUGCUGUAUUUUUUAAGAAGUCCUACUUACUGGAAUUUUGACUAUUUGGAUAUUUUUGUUUUUAAAAGGGGAGGGGAAUUUGCUUAAUACUUCUACAAAUGUGAAUUGAUAAUUGAUAUUAAAAUAGUAGAAUUAUUCUCGACUCACCAGAAUUAAAUUUUGUAUCUGCGUAUUUAACACUAUUAGCUCUUAUAUAAAUUAUAGAAAAUUUUUCAAAGGAUCUGGUUUUAAUUUUUUGGAUAUGAAAUGAAUUUGCCUUUUCUGCCUUUUCUUAAGGUACUAUUUUGUAACUAUGUUGCACUAACUAUAUCCAAAACACAUUCUGAGCAUCACUGUAACAACCUUCCAGUUUAUACCCUUUUGAUUCACAGCAUGUCCCUGUAGUUAAUUAAGAGGUGGAUAACUUAAGCUCACAACUGCCUUUAAUUUGAUUUCACAUCCACACUUAGAAACUUUGCAUUUAAAAGGAAAAUGAAACAUUUAAAUCGGUUCCUGUUGUUUAACAUAUAAUUGGUAAAAACAUAUUCCCUUGUAAAAUCCUAUUAUCAAAGCAUCAGAUACCAAAGUCAGCAGCUUGUGUUGCCAAAUAUAUUAGGCUCAUUAUUUUGAAAAGGGCUGCUGUUUCCAUGUCAAUGAUAAUUUUCUUUUUCAUGGGCAAGGUUAUUGUACUUAUCUACUAAAAGAAACAUGUAUAAACAUAGUUUUUAUCUUUAACUUCAGUAUUAAAAUAUGCAGUUUUUUGCAAAGAGGAAAAACAUCUGGUUCAAUUACUCUGAACUCUGACUACAUGUGGGCCAGUACUAAUAUGAAUUGGAUUUAAGAAAAAACCUUGUGUUUAAUCUCUUUUUUUCCUAAAAUUUUAAUGUGAGCUUUCUGUUAUGCAAAUUAUCCAUGUUAGCACAUUUGGAACAAAUGUAUAAAUGUACUUUCUGAAUAAAGUCAAAAGUCUAACGUGUUUUUAGUUCCAUAAUGUUUUAAUGUUUAAUUAUAUUGUGUAUUUUUCUCCCUUUCCCCUUACUCUCCAAAAUCACCAAAUCUGGAAAACAGGCUGAUUGUAUCUGUCUAUGAGCAAAGGAAACCUGAAGGAACCAAGGGCCUGGCUGGACAGAGUUGUCAUGUGUCUGCCUGUCUACACUUGCUGUGCAGAACAUCCGCUCACCUGUACAGCAGGCACAGACAGGCAGUCACAUGACAACCCAGCCUGAAUGACAACCAGCCAUUGAAAGAAAGCAGCCCUCACACCAUAGCAUCUACACCAAGAGCUACAACCAAAAUGAGGGGCUUGGGGCCUGGGGCUUUAAUCUGUUGGUUUAAUACUUAACUCAUGUAUUAUUUUAUUUUGAUUCAAGUAUUAAAACCCACCAAAAGUAAAGUGAGUGGUGCCUAUGAAAUAUAAUAAAACCCAUUUCUGAAAAUG
Non-coding RNA from Chlorocebus sabaeus (green monkey), 2504 nucleotides. NCBI's taxonomy places the organism in Eukaryota, Metazoa, Chordata, Mammalia, Primates, Cercopithecidae. The record is from RefSeq and is a predicted model, not a curated record.